UGCAGUCGAACGGUAACAGGUCUUCGGAUGCUGACGAGUGGCGAACGGGUGACUAACGCAUCGGAACGUGUCCAGUAGUGGGGGAUAGCCCGGCGAAAGCCGGAUUAAUACCGCAUACAACCUACGGGUAAAAGGGGGGGAUCGCAAGACCUCUCGCUAUUGGAGCGGCCGAUGUCAGAUUAGGUAGUUGGUGGGGUAAAGGCCCACCAAGCCGACGAUCUGUAGCUGGUCUGAGAGGACGACCAGCCACACUGGGACUGAGACACGGCCCAGACUCCUACGGGAGGCAGCAGUGGGGAAUUUUGGACAAUGGACGAAAGUCUGAUCCAGCCAUGCCGCGUGCGGGAAGAAGGCCUUCGGGUUGUAAACCGCUUUUGUCAGGGAAGAAAAGCUGCGCGCUAAUACCGCGCGGUCAUGACGGUACCUGAAGAAUAAGCACCGGCUAACUACGUGCCAGCAGCCGCGGUAAUACGUAGGGUGCAAGCGUUAAUCGGAAUUACUGGGCGUAAAGCGUGCGCAGGCGGCUUUGCAAGACAGAUGUGAAAUCCCCGGGCUCAACCUGGGAACUGCAUUUGUGACUGCAAGGCUAGAGUACGGUAGAGGGGAGUGGAAUUCCGCGUGUAGCAGUGAAAUGCGUAGAUAUGCGGAGGAACACCGAUGGCGAAGGCAGCUCCCUGGACCUGUACUGACGCUCAUGCACGAAAGCGUGGGGAGCAAACAGGAUUACAUACCCUGGUAGUCCACGCCC
This 748-nucleotide ribosomal RNA is filed under the name Piscinibacter sp. LB13-2. Its description in RNAcentral is "bacterial SSU rRNA". It matches the Rfam family "Bacterial small subunit ribosomal RNA", at positions 56 to 802 of the family's 1533-position model. Lineage: Bacteria; Pseudomonadati; Pseudomonadota; Betaproteobacteria; Burkholderiales; Sphaerotilaceae. The record is from RNAcentral.